RNAcentral lists this small nuclear RNA (145 nucleotides) under Pogona vitticeps (central bearded dragon). RNAcentral's name for it is "U1 spliceosomal RNA (ENSPVIG00000004594.1)". It matches the Rfam family "U1 spliceosomal RNA". Rfam says of the family: U1 is a small nuclear RNA (snRNA) component of the spliceosome (involved in pre-mRNA splicing). Its 5' end forms complementary base pairs with the 5' splice junction, thus defining the 5' donor site of an intron. Lineage: Eukaryota; Metazoa; Chordata; Lepidosauria; Squamata; Agamidae. The record is from Rfam by way of RNAcentral.
ACUCAUAUCUUGCAGGGGAAAUACCAUGUCAUAAAAGUGGUUUUCCCAGGGGGAGGCUCAUCCAUUGUACUUUGGGUAUCCCUAUGAUUUCCCCAAAUGUAGGGAACUCAACUGCAUAAUUUGUGUUAAUGGGGGAUUGCCCUUG